RNAcentral lists this ribosomal RNA (490 nucleotides) under uncultured bacterium. Its description in RNAcentral is "bacterial SSU rRNA". It matches the Rfam family "Bacterial small subunit ribosomal RNA", at positions 44 to 507 of the family's 1533-position model. The record is from RNAcentral.
GUGCUUAACACAUGCAAGUCGAACGAGAAAACUCUGGCUUGCCAGAGUAAGUAAAGUGGCGCACGGGUGAGUAACACGUGGGUAACCUACCUUCAAGUCAGGGAUAACAUUGCGAAAGCGAUGCUAAUACCUGAUAAGCUUACAACAUCUGAUGAUGAAGUGAGAAAAGGUGGCCUCUGAUAUAAGCUAUCACUUGGAGAUGGGCCCGCGCACCAUUAGCUUGUUGGUAGGGUAAUGGCCUACCAAGGCUAUGAUGGUUAGCUGGCCUGAGAGGGCGGCCAGCCACACUGGAACUGGAACACGGUCCAGACUCCUACGGGAGGCAGCAGUGGGGAAUAUUGCGCAAUGGGGGAAACCCUGACGCAGCGACGCCGUGUGAGUGAUGAAGGCUUUCGGGUCGUAAAGCUCUGUCAGACGGGAAGAAUAAAAGCAGGGAAAAUAUUUCUGUUUUAUGACGGUACCGUCAAAGGAAGCACCGGCUAACUCCGUG